UAACAAGAAACAUAUCUAACAAAAUAAUUAAAAUAAAAAUUGAAAACAAAAUUGCUGUAUUGGUUUAAAAUGGCGUGAGAGUGAGAGAAACAACAAAAUAGAAGAAGAGAGGAGGAAAGAAAAGAAGAAAAAAAAAAAGAGGAUAAGUUAGCUAAUUUAUUGUUUUAGCUAAUCCAUUGUUUUCACUACUGUCUUUGAAUAGUAAAACACAUUUCAAAGAAUUCAAAUUAAUUAUCAUGAAUAGGGAAGAAGCAUCACCGUAGGGCAAUAAUUGGAUCAGUUUACUAAGUGAACACCUCGUAAAUAUGCUCAAUGAAAACUCAUCAUAUUCAUUGAUGAAAUUAAUGAACAAGUGUGAACAACUAUUUAAACAAAUUAAAAUUGAAAAUAGAAAGACUUGCCUGAUUAUGUUCAUUAACUAGCUUGUUAAUGGCUCAUUUAUAUUUUCUAGAAGUCCAUGAUUAAUUAAUUUUGGGCUAUUAAAAUUCCAUCUUAAAACAAUAUAAUUGAAACAAACAAAAAUUACUCAAUUGUAAUAGGUUGUGAGAUCUUCAACAUGAAAGGUCAUUUGUAAAAAAUAAAGGCAUUGGCAGGCUGCCCACCUCCUCCAUAAACGGGAUAAGCUUCCCACACAUUUUAAAUGUUUCAGGCCUCAGACCCUUCAGCAUAUAUAGGCCUGACAAAACUAUAUUGAAUGAUUAAUACCUUGAAUUAGAUGAACAAUAAGUUAAAAAUAUAAUGUAGCUCAGCUUGGGGUCUUAUGUCCACCUAGAUCAAACAUAUCUCAAAAGGCUAAACUAAAAUGAGAGAGCCAAGCUAAGUUUGAGUUUGGCUCUCAAAAACUUGGUCAAACCCAAACCGAGUUUGAACAUGGUUUCAAAUGGUACUAAUCCAAACACUCAGCUCAGAUCAGCUUGUUUAUACGCCUAGGAGUAAACUUUUAAGUAAAUGCUCCGUCCUUAAAAGCAGAAAAGGACUAAAUAAAAGAAAGUAAUGACCAUACAAGCGUUUUUCUUCAUCUAGUUGAUUU
RNAcentral lists this unclassified non-coding RNA (1030 nucleotides) under Hevea brasiliensis (rubber tree). The record is from RNAcentral. Lineage: Eukaryota; Viridiplantae; Streptophyta; Magnoliopsida; Malpighiales; Euphorbiaceae.